RNAcentral lists this ribosomal RNA (1208 nucleotides) under uncultured organism. RNAcentral describes it as "SSU rRNA". It matches the Rfam family "Bacterial small subunit ribosomal RNA", at positions 41 to 1244 of the family's 1533-position model. The record is from RNAcentral.
UACAGGCUUAACACAUGCAAGUCGAGGGGCAGCAUGGUCUUAGCUUGCUAAGACUGAUGGCGACCGGCGCACGGGUGAGUAACACGUAUCCAACCUGCCGUCUACUCUUGGACAGCCUUCUGAAAGGAAGAUUAAUACAAGAUGGCAUCAUGAGUCCGCAUGUUCACAUGAUUAAAGGUAUUCCGGUAGACGAUGGGGAUGCGUUCCAUUAGAUAGUAGGCGGGGUAACGGCCCACCUAGUCUUCGAUGGAUAGGGGUUCUGAGAGGAAGGUCCCCCACAUUGGAACUGAGACACGGUCCAAACUCCUACGGGAGGCAGCAGUGAGGAAUAUUGGUCAAUGGGCGAGAGCCUGAACCAGCCAAGUAGCGUGAAGGAUGACUGCCCUAUGGGUUGUAAACUUCUUUUAUAAAGGAAUAAAGUCGGGUAUGGAUACCCGUUUGCAUGUACUUUAUGAAUAAGGAUCGGCUAACUCCGUGCCAGCAGCCGCGGUAAUACGGAGGAUCCGAGCGUUAUCCGGAUUUAUUGGGUUUAAAGGGAGCGUAGAUGGAUGUUUAAGUCAGUUGUGAAAGUUUGCGGCUCAACCGUAAAAUUGCAGUUGAUACUGGAUAUCUUGAGUGCAGUUGAGGCAGGCGGAAUUCGUGGUGUAGCGGUGAAAUGCUUAGAUAUCACGAAGAACUCCGAUUGCGAAGGCAGCCUGCUAAGCUGCAACUGACAUUGAGGCUCGAAAGUGUGGGUAUCAAACAGGAUUAGAUACCCUGGUAGUCCACACGGUAAACGAUGAAUACUCGCUGUUUGCGAUAUACGGCAAGCGGCCAAGCGAAAGCGUUAAGUAUUCCACCUGGGGAGUACGCCGGCAACGGUGAAACUCAAAGGAAUUGACGGGGGCCCGCACAAGCGGAGGAACAUGUGGUUUAAUUCGAUGAUACGCGAGGAACCUUACCCGGGCUUAAAUUGCAGAUGAAUUACGGUGAAAGCCGUAAGCCGCAAGGCAUCUGUGAAGGUGCUGCAUGGUUGUCGUCAGCUCGUGCCGUGAGGUGUUGGCUUAAGUGUCAUAACGAGCGCAACCCUUGUUGUCAGUUUCUAACAGGUUCCGCUGAGGACUCUGACAAGAUUGCCAUCGUAAGAUGUGAGGAAGUUGGGGAUGACGUCAAAUCAGCUCGUCCCUUACGUCCGGGGCUUCACAGGUGUUACAAUGGGGGGUACAGAG